ACCACAACCACACACAACAACAAAGGUAUUGAAGAAUAAAAGUUUCAUUUUUAUCUAUUUUUUCCCUUUUUUGUCUAAUUUUUUGUGGUCUAAUUUUUGGGAUAAACUAACGGCGGUGCUGAAGGUUACGCGUUUUGUCCAUGCAAUGGUUGCAACAAUAGGACUCGAGGUUACUACUAUGUUUUUUUUCCGUUUUUUUAAAAGACUCGAGGUUACUGCUCUGCUCUUUUUUGUUUUUUAAAAGAAAAUUAUCUCUUGUUAUUUUUGCUACGAGAGUUGUUGCUGAUUUCUUAUUGUUUCCCUUAUGUUCUUUUUCGUUGUUUUUUUUAUAAAAAAAAAUGAUCUUCUAUCAUUUUUGCUACAAGAAUUGUUGUUGAUUUAUUGCAACAAUAUGAUUACCAGGGUGGUGUUGAAGAAUAAAGGUCCCAUUUUUAUCUAUUUUUUUCCCAUUUUUUUUGUCUAAUUUUUUGUGGUAUGAUUUUGACUUUAUGUGUUUUUGUGGAGGAUUUAGGGAAGUGAGAAAGGAAAAGGGUGGCUUCAGAAUCUUCACUAUGGUGUGUUUGGCCUUGGAAAUAGGCAGUAUGAGCAUUUUUACAAGGUCUGCAUUGGAUUCUUACAAGGUUUCGAUUUGAUUUUAAUCAUGGAGUUGUUGGUUGUUGUGGCAAUUGAUGCAGGUGAUAAAGCUUGCUUACCCGGGAGAGACUACUUGAACUUUUCUAUGCUAUGUAUGAAAAAGAUGCCAAAAAGGGUGGCCCUCUUGACUCUCUAAGGUUGCUGGUGAGGCUAUCAAUGGAUUAACCCCUCGGAGGGCCGACACUUUUGAGAAGAUUGAUAAGGAAACUUGACACUUCGGUAGAGAAAUUGGUGGUGAAUUUUGAAGGGGGGUGGAACCCUGAAUGGUAAACUAUUGCAGAAAAUUAAUUGAAUUUUGCAGUGGGAAGACUCUGAGUGAAUUGUGCCACAACAUAGAAGGAAAUAUCAACGUUGGCUCAUUUAGCAGGUUGAUAUAUGACAUGAUGCUUGCGUGGGAGAGACCUAGCUACUACGAUGAAGAAGAUACCACGGUCAGAAAAUAAUAUUGUGGAUCCGCUUACAAAAGGGUUGACGCGUCAACAAGUGCUUGAGUCGUCGAGGGGAAUGGGAUUAAAGCCCAUUAUUUAGUUACCACAAUGGACACCCGUCUCCGAGUGAUUGGUGAUCCCAUGAAUGGAGUUCAACGGGUAACAACGAAAUUGUUUGUUGACUAAAGUACACCAAAAUAAAAUUUGACGGAGCUGUUCCAUUUCUCAUUCCUAUGACGAGGUGUAUUAUAAAUU
Long non-coding RNA from Glycine soja, 1316 nucleotides. RefSeq lists it as uncharacterized. The transcript has 5 exons. NCBI's taxonomy places the organism in Eukaryota, Viridiplantae, Streptophyta, Magnoliopsida, Fabales, Fabaceae. The record is from RefSeq and is a predicted model, not a curated record.